This is a long non-coding RNA of Oncorhynchus kisutch (coho salmon), 1911 nucleotides long. NCBI's taxonomy places the organism in Eukaryota, Metazoa, Chordata, Actinopteri, Salmoniformes, Salmonidae. The record is from Ensembl.
UUUUCUCUCCACCUAAAGGUAUAUUUUCUUGCUCAAAUUGAUUCAGUUUUUCUCCACCUAAAGGUAUAUUUUCUUGCUCAAAUUGAUUCAGUUUCUCUCCACCUAAAGGUAUAUUUUCUUGCUCGGAUUGAUUCAGUUUCUCCCCGCCUGAAGUUAUAUCCUCUUGUUCAGAUUGAUUCAGUUUCUCUCUGUCUGAGGGUAUAUGUUCUUGCACAUAUAGAUUCAGUUUCUCUCCAUCUGAGGGUAUAUGUUCUUGCGCAUAUAGAUUCAGUUUCUCUCCGCCUGAAGUUAUGUACUCUGGCACGGAUUGAUUCAGUUUCUCUCUGUCUGAGGGUAUGUGUUCUUGUGCAUUUACGUUCUGUUUCUCUCCGUUUGAAGGUAUAUCCUCUGGCUCGGAUUGAUAAAUUUUCUCUCCAUCUGAGGGUAUAUGUUCUUGCUCACAUAUAUCCAGUGUCUCUCCACCUAAAGGUAUAUUUUCUUGCUCGAAUUGAUUCAGUUUCUCUCCACCUAAAGGUAUAUUUUCUUGCUCGAAUUGAUUCAGUUUCUCUCCACCUAAAGGUAUAUUUUCUUGCUCAAAUUGAUUCAGUUUCUCUCCACCUAAAGGUAUAUUUUCUUGCUCAAAUUGAUUCAGUUUCUCUCCACCUAAAGGUAUAUUUUCUUGCUCGGAUUGAUUCAGUUUCUCCCCGCCUGAAGUUAUAUCUUCUUGCUCGGAUUGGUUCAGUUUCUCCCCGCCUGAAGUUAUAUCCUCUUGUUCAGAUUGAUUCAGUUUCUCUCUGUCUGAGGGUAUAUGUUCUUGCACAUAUAGAUUCAGUUUCUCUCCAUCUGAGGGUAUAUGUUCUUGCGCAUAUAGAUUCAGUUUCUCUCCGCCUGAAGUUAUGUACUCUGGCACGGAUUGAUUCAGUUUCUCUCUGUCUGAGGGUAUGUGUUCUUGUGCAUUUACGUUCUGUUUCUCUCCGUUUGAAGGUAUAUCCUCUGGCUCGGAUUGAUAAAUUUUCUCUCCAUCUGAGGGUAUAUGUUCUUGCUCACAUAUAUCCAGUGUCUCUCCACCUAAAGGUAUAUUUUCUUGCUCGAAUUGAUUCAGUUUCUCUCCACCUAAAGGUAUAUUUUCUUGCUCGAAUUGAUUCAGUUUCUCUCCACCUAAAGGUAUAUUUUCUUGCUCAAAUUGAUUCAGUUUCUCUCCACCUAAAGGUAUAUUUUCUUGCUCAAAUUGAUUCAGUUUCUCUCCACCUAAAGGUAUAUUUUCUUGCUCGGAUUGAUUCAGUUUCUCCCCGCCUGAAGUUAUAUCCUCUUGUUCAGAUUGAUUCAGUUUCUCUCUGUCUGAGGGUAUAUGUUCUUGCACAUAUAGAUUCAGUUUCUCUCCAUCUGAGGGUAUAUGUUCUUGCGCAUAUAGAUUCAGUUUCUCUCCGCCUGAAGUUAUGUACUCUGGCACGGAUUGAUUCAGUUUCUCUCUGUCUGAGGGUAUGUGUUCUAGUGCAUUUACGUUCUGUUUCUCUCCGUUUGAAGGUAUAUCCUCUGGCUCGGAUUGAUUCAGUUUCUCUCCUCCUGAAGGUAUCUUCUCUUGUUCAGAUUGAUUCAGUUUCUCUCCACCUAAAGUUAUAUUUUCUUGCUCAAAUUGAUUCAGUUUUUCUCCACCUAAAGGUAUAUUUUCUUGCUCAAAUUGAUUCAGUUUUUCUCCAUCUAAAGGUAUAUUUUCUUGCUCGGAUUGAUUCAUUUUUUCUCUGUCUGAGGGUAUAUGUUCUUGCUCACAUAUAUCCAGUGUCUCCCCGCCUGAAGUUAUAUCCUCUUGUUCAGAUUGAUUCAGUUCCUCUCCGUCUGUUGGUAUGUGUUCUUGCACAUAUAGAUUCAGUUUAUCUCCGCCUGAAGUUAUGUACUCUGGCUCGGAUUGAUUCAGUUUCUCUCCGCCUGAAAUGA